This 148-nucleotide unclassified non-coding RNA is filed under the name soil metagenome. RNAcentral describes it as "partial internal transcribed spacer 1". The record is from RNAcentral.
CCGAGUUUACAACUCCCAAACCCCUGUGAACAUACCACUUGUUGCCUCGGCGGAUCAGCCCGCUCCCGGUAAAACGGGACGGCCCGCCAGAGGACCCCUAAACUCUAGUAACCUUUACCUUCUGAGUUUUAAUAUUAAAAAUAAGUCA